Molecule: signal recognition particle RNA, 99 nt
Filed under: Candidatus Cloacimonadota bacterium
Lineage: Bacteria; Pseudomonadati; Candidatus Cloacimonadota
Also listed under: 1 other name
Description: signal recognition particle sRNA small type
Rfam family: Bacterial small signal recognition particle RNA
About the family: The signal recognition particle (SRP) is a universally conserved ribonucleoprotein involved in the co-translational targeting of proteins to membranes. Archaeal SRP consists of a 7S RNA and homologues of the eukaryotic SRP19 and SRP54 proteins.
Source: RNAcentral
UGCCAGGCGCAGUGCAAUAACCGCUUGUGAAAUAUGUCAGGUCAGGAAUGAAGCAGCAUUAAGCAAGGCAGGUUAUGUGCAGCUGUAAGCCUGGCAUUU